This 468-nucleotide ribosomal RNA is filed under the name uncultured bacterium. RNAcentral describes it as "partial 16S ribosomal RNA". It matches the Rfam family "Bacterial small subunit ribosomal RNA", at positions 28 to 507 of the family's 1533-position model. The record is from RNAcentral.
GACGAACGCUGGCGGCGUGCUUAACACAUGCAAGUCGAACGGAAAGGCCCUGCUUUUGUGGGGUGCUCGAGUGGCGAACGGGUGAGUAACACGUGAGUAACCUGCCCUUGACUUUGGGAUAACUUCAGGAAACUGGGGCUAAUACCGGAUAGGAGCUCCUGCUGCAUGGUGGGGGUUGGAAAGUUUCGGCGGUUGGGGAUGGACUCGCGGCUUAUCAGCUUGUUGGUGGGGUAGUGGCUUACCAAGGCUUUGACGGGUAGCCGGCCUGAGAGGGUGACCGGCCACAUUGGGACUGAGAUACGGCCCAGACUCCUACGGGAGGCAGCAGUGAGGAAUAUUGCACAAUGGGCGGAAGCCUGAUGCAGCAACGCCGCGUGCGGGAUGACGGCCUUCGGGUUGUAAACCGCUUUCGCCUGUGACGAAGAGUGAGUGACGGUAAUGGGUAAAGAAGCACCGGCUAACUACGUG